Molecule: ribosomal RNA, 492 nt
Filed under: uncultured bacterium
Lineage: Bacteria
Description: partial 16S ribosomal RNA
Rfam family: Bacterial small subunit ribosomal RNA
Source: RNAcentral
AGUGAACGCUGGCGGUAGGCCUAACACAUGCAAGUCGAACGGCAGCACAGUAAGAGCUUGCUCUUACGGGUGGCGAGUGGCGGACGGGUGAGGAAUACAUCGGAAUCUACUUUUUCGUGGGGGAUAACGUAGGGAAACUUACGCUAAUACCGCAUACGACCUACGGGUGAAAGCAGGGGAUCUUCGGACCUUGCGCGAUUGAAUGAGCCGAUGUCGGAUUAGCUAGUUGGCGGGGUAAGGGCCCACCAAGGCGACGAUCCGUAGCUGGACUGAGAGGAUGAUCAGCCACACUGGAACUGAGACACGGUCCAGACUCCUACGGGAGGCAGCAGUGGGGAAUAUUGGACAAUGGGCGCAAGCCUGAUCCAGCCAUACCGCGUGGGUGAAGAAGGCCUUCGGGUUGUAAAGCCCUUUUGUUGGGAAAGAAAAGCAGCAGGUUAAUACCCCGCUGUUCUGACGGUACCCAAAGAAUAAGCACCGGCUAACUUCGUG